Long non-coding RNA from Centropristis striata (black sea bass), 909 nucleotides. RefSeq lists it as uncharacterized. NCBI's taxonomy places the organism in Eukaryota, Metazoa, Chordata, Actinopteri, Perciformes, Serranidae. The transcript is spliced from 3 exons. The record is from RefSeq and is a predicted model, not a curated record.
CCAAGGAAGGAUCCUUGACUUUGGGAUACAGCUAUAUUCUCUCCUCACUUUGUGUGAUUGUGCACCCUGCCCUGAUCAGCUCCACCUGUGUCUGGUGCUCCUCUUGUUUGGUGCUCAGUGUUCACCUGCCUGCCUCUGGACUAAUAAAUCACGGGGUUCACUCCUAACUCCUGAUGCUGUCUUCACAUGUGGAGGAUGGAGCCCGCUCCCUGUAGAUGACCGGGUACUGCAAGGAAAAGAAGCGGUUAAAGGAAGUCACCAUGUCUCUGCCGUUUGAGGGGAAGUUCCUCCUGAUCUUGUGGACGUAGAGGAGCAGCAGAAAAACAACCAGCAGCAACACACCAACCAUGGACACACACACGACCAGAGGCAGGAGGUAACCUGAAUGAGUGGGACUGGUGGUGGCUGAGAGGGAAACACAGCUGAUUAAAAUGCAUCACAAGGAACGGCAUAAAAAAGACUGUACUGGAACAUCAGGUUGUGCUUCAAUAGUGAGCCUCUCAGUGGCUUAACCCAGAACCUCCCCGGCCCACCAGCCCGUCUGACCACCGCGGGGUCCAGAGCCUGCAGCUCUGUUUUAACUGGCAUAUUGUACCUGGAAUCACAUAUCACAUCCCCAUCCUAUUCACUGAGUUGUUCAAUUAUUAUUGUUGUUUAUAAGUUAUCUAUUUUUUUGUAAGUUGUUCUCUGACACUGUACGGUGACCUUGAAUGAUAUGAAAGGUGCCUAUAAAUAAAAUUUUUAUUAUUAUUAUUAUACAAUUGAAUAUCCCUCUAAAAAUGUAAAAACAUCUAAAAAUGUCCAAGUCAGGGAGGAAAACUACUCCCAUCCCAUUGGUUGACAUGUGGGUCAGUCUGAGUUUCUUUAGUGAUGUGAGCAAAAUAAAGUAGCAAGAUUUAUGUUUAAGUC